AGUCCUUCAGGGGCUCACUCUAGCCCAAAGAAUAAAUCCAAGCAUCUGGGAGCCACCACAGUCCACCUCAACCUAAGUGUUAAGCGCCCUUUCCUUCCAUGCUUUCCCCAUCCCCGGUGUACACUCUGUACCCCACCGAGGCCCUCCUCACUUCCUAGACAGGGCAUUCAUUUCCUCCUGCAUGGCUUUGCUCACCUGGCCCUCUCGCUGGCAUUCCCACCCCCACUCACCCACUCGCUAAAUCCUGAUCAUCCCUGUAAAAAAUGUUUCCCCCUUGCUAAGGUUUAUCAGCCUUGGCGCUCUUGGCCUUUUGUCGGAUAAUUCUUUGUGGGGGCAGGUGGGGAGCUGUCCUGGGCAAGGUGACAUGUUUAGCGGCAUCCCUGGCUUCUACUCUCUAGAUGCCAGUCGCAACCCUCACCCCCCAACCCACCAUUUGACAAUUAAGAAUGUUUCCAGACGUUGUCAAAUGUUGCCUGGACUUCAAAACCGCCCCUGGUUGAGAACCACUGCCUUGUAGAGCUUUCUCUGGUGACCACCAACGAGAACUCUAUUCCACAGAGCUUUGCCCUCUGUUAAAAUCCUUGCAGCUAAAGAAACAACAAGAGCAGCGACUACAAUAACAAUCAGCACCAUCUCUGCUUUGAUUCUGUGACUGCUUAUAUGUCUGUUCCCUUCGGUGGGUCUGUGAGCUCUUUGAAAGCUGAGUGUCUUCCCGGUACCUCUAGGACCCGCACGUGCCCUGGUACAGGGGGUAAGCAGGACAAAUUCGCUGCCCUGAGGCGGUGAGACAGCUGCCAGCGUCUGUCCUCUCGCCAGCCAUUUGAUGACCACAUCACCUGCGAGACUGAGAAGCUCAUGAUUCUAAGGCUGUUUUGCAAGGUUCCGUUCAUACCUGGCAAGUGAUAAGAAGCAAAAAGAACAAUGGAUCCUGGAAGGUCUCAUUUGCCCAGAUCACGUGAGGGUACUGGAGGGUAGGAGCCCAGCUGGCGUUCCCCGCGUCUCCACAGCACCUGCUGGGGAAAUUACCAAGGACAAGGAAAGGAUCACUCAAAAGGAGCAAACAGUCCACAGUCCCAACUACUGAGAAUUGUUCCUGUUCCUACCGGUCAAGCUACAGCCACCUAAUUCAUGAGACAUGGUAUAAAGGACUUAGAAGGGCACUGACGCAGUAGUGGGGCGUGAUCAGCCGUACAGAAAAGGCUCAGCUGGUUCCACCUAACAAAGCUUAAAAAUUAAUCCUCAAAGGACAGAAUUGUUUUCAAGUUUCCUAUCUGUACUUCAAAACAAACCUCAAAAAUACUCAUAGAGAUACAAAAAUAUCCGGCACCCGAAAAGUAAAUUUCACAAUGCCUGGCCUAUAUCUCACUCACAUAUAUGUAUAUAUCUCACUGGUCAGGCCAGAAACAGGAAAUUACGGGUCGAAACGAAGAGAAAAAUCAAUCUAUAGAAACAGUGCCGGAAAUAGCACAGAUGAGAGAAUUAGAAUAAAACCA
Long non-coding RNA from Canis lupus familiaris (dog), 1493 nucleotides. RefSeq lists it as uncharacterized. Lineage: Eukaryota; Metazoa; Chordata; Mammalia; Carnivora; Canidae. The record is from RefSeq and is a predicted model, not a curated record. The transcript has 3 exons.